UACGGAGGGUGCAAGCGUUAUCCGGAUUUACUGGGUUUAAAGGGUGCGCAGGCGGUUGUUUAAGUCAAUAGUGAAAUCCUAAUGCUCAACAUUAGAACUGCUAUUGAUACUAAACAACUAGAGUAGUGGUAAGGUAAGUGUAAUUUAUAAUGUAGCGGUGAAAUGCAUAGAUAUUAUAAGGAAGACCAAUAGCGAAGGCAACUUACUGACCAACUACUGACGCUCAGGCACGAAAGCGUGGGUAGCAAACAGG
Molecule: ribosomal RNA, 253 nt
Filed under: uncultured bacterium
Lineage: Bacteria
Description: partial 16S ribosomal RNA
Rfam family: Bacterial small subunit ribosomal RNA
Source: RNAcentral